Molecule: transfer RNA, 75 nt
Filed under: Cystoclonium purpureum f. stellatum
Lineage: Eukaryota; Rhodophyta; Florideophyceae; Gigartinales; Cystocloniaceae
Description: tRNA-Arg
Source: RNAcentral
GUUUUUAAAUUUAAUUGUUAUUAAUAAUUCUUUUAAUAAAGAAUUUAAAGAAUUAAUUAAAGAAUUUUCAAUUUU